GUGGACGCUGGCGGUAGGCCUAACACAUGCAAGUCGAACGGCAGCACAGUAAGAGCUUGCUCUUACGGGUGGCGAGUGGCGGACGGGUGAGGAAUACAUCGGAAUCUACUUUUUCGUGGGGGAUAACGUAGGGAAACUUACGCUAAUACCGCAUACGACCUACGGGUGAAAGCAGGGGAUCUUCGGACCUUGCGCGAUUGAAUGAGCCGAUGUCGGAUUAGCUAGUUGGCGGGGUAAAGGCCCACCAAGGCGACGAUCCGUAGCUGGUCUGAGAGGAUGAUCAGCCACACUGGAACUGAGACACGGUCCAGACUCCUACGGGAGGCAGCAGUGGGGAAUAUUGGACAAAGGGCGCAAGCCUGAUCCAGCCAUACCGCGUGGGUGAAGAAGGCCUUCGGGUUGUAAAGCCCUUUUGUUGGGAAAGAAAAGCAGCAGGUUAAUACCCCGCUGUUCUGACGGUACCCAAAGAAUAAGCACCGGCUAACUUCGUG
This 491-nucleotide ribosomal RNA is filed under the name uncultured bacterium. RNAcentral's name for it is "partial 16S ribosomal RNA". It matches the Rfam family "Bacterial small subunit ribosomal RNA", at positions 29 to 507 of the family's 1533-position model. The record is from RNAcentral.